GAAAGCACCCGACGACCCGACAUUUAUAAAUCGGCAAGCAGGACAGUUUAAAGAUAUGCGAGAGAAGUACCACCGGACAUUUCUGUUUCUCAUUCCAUUUCUAAUAUCUUCAGUACAUUGCCAAUUAUCUUGUCAUCGAAUACCAACUUCAUUUUGUUGUACUUCAAGAAUACGGGAUCAAUGUCCAGAACAGUGUGCUUCAGUCCAAUGUGGCACUGAUUUUAUUCAUAGUUUAUUCUCAACUGAUGGUUCUCGACGGCCGGCACCAAGCGGAGCACACGAUGGGAAUGCAAAUAUUGGAGGAACAGGAAGUGUGGAUAAUUUGAGAUCUGCUUUCGGAUCCGCUGGAGAACCAUUUGUGACGUCACCUCCUCCAGCUCAACCACUCUUCCCUCAACAGACUCCACCCCCACCUGCAUCACCUCUUAUCAGUAACAGUGGAGAUGUAUUUGCAAGAUCAAGGAAGGAAAUAAGUGGAGCACCGGAUUCGGAGCAACAAUCUGGAAGUGCUGCGACAUUGAGUGGUUCAUCUCACGAAUGGAAGGUGUCUAUAAUUCCACGUGGACAGAAUAAAAAACCGGCAAAUGUGAAGUCAAUUCCACCAUUUACAAUUGAUGGAAAAGCUGAUGAGAGGUUUAAUAAAUUUUAUAGAACAAUUGACAGUGUGAUAAACAAUUUGGAUUUGACAAACGGAGGAAAUUUACACGAAAGGGAGGGUGAACCACAAAUACGAUUAGAGGGAAGCACUGGAAACUCAAAGGAUCUAUCAGUAGAAUCAUCUGCAGCUGUAAUAGUACCCCGUACUACUGUAGCUCCAGGUGUUACUAAUAAAGUCAGUGUAAUACCAUUCCGUCCACUACACUUUACUGCUCCACCGAGAAACGGUCCACCAGGAGUUGCUCCGCCAAAAGGAGCAGCUGGAAAUGAACAAUGUGGUGUUUCUCCUGAUUUUACUCCGUGUGUUAGCAAUGAAAUUGCGAGUAAAUCACUUUUAGAAUGUUGUAAACGAAAGAAUUUACCUGCUGGAUGUCAACAAUUAUGCAGAUAUGAUAUUACACAGACAGAGAUCCGUGCUGCAAUGGACCGUGGACAAUGUGGAAUAUUUAACGUGGCUCCAUUCUUAGAAUGUGCAUCACAGGGAAAAGAUAAUUCAGAGUGUUGUAGGCACAGGGGAAUUGUUCAGAAAACAGGACCCCAAUGUGAGCAAUUCUGUCGUCCGGCUCAAGGACUUUCAUCUCUUGGAGUUCAGCAUAUUGUAUGUGGAAAUGCAGUUGGUGAUAUGCUUCAUUGUCAUCAUUCUGGUGUUCGAAUUUAA
RNAcentral lists this unclassified non-coding RNA (1315 nucleotides) under Caenorhabditis elegans. RNAcentral's name for it is "long non-coding RNA NONCELT024687". The record is from RNAcentral. Lineage: Eukaryota; Metazoa; Nematoda; Chromadorea; Rhabditida; Rhabditidae.